Molecule: ribosomal RNA, 253 nt
Filed under: uncultured bacterium
Lineage: Bacteria
Description: partial 16S ribosomal RNA
Rfam family: Bacterial small subunit ribosomal RNA
Source: RNAcentral
UACGUAGGGUGCGAGCGUUAAUCGGAAUUACUGGGCGUAAAGCGUGCGCAGGCGGUUUUGUAAGCCAGAUGUGAAAUCCCCGGGCUUAACCUGGGAAUGGCAUUUGGGACUGCAAGGCUGGAGUAUGGCAGAGGAGACCAGAAUUCCUGGUGUAGCAGUGAAAUGCGUAGAUAUCAGGAGGAAUACCGAUGGCGAAGGCAGGUCUCUGGGCCAAUACUGACGCUCAUGCACGAAAGCGUGGGGAGCAAACAGG